Molecule: ribosomal RNA, 429 nt
Filed under: bacterium
Lineage: Bacteria
Description: partial 16S ribosomal RNA
Rfam family: Bacterial small subunit ribosomal RNA
Source: RNAcentral
UAGGGAAUCUUCGGCAAUGGGGGCAACCCUGACCGAGCAACGCCGCGUGAGUGAAGAAGGUUUUCGGAUCGUAAAGCUCUGUUGUAAGAGAAGAACGUGUGUGAGAGUGGAAAGUUCACACAGUGACGGUAACUUACCAGAAAGGGACGGCUAACUACGUGCCAGCAGCCGCGGUAAUACGUAGGUCCCGAGCGUUGUCCGGAUUUAUUGGGCGUAAAGCGAGCGCAGGCGGUUUAAUAAGUCUGAAGUUAAAGGCAGUGGCUUAACCAUUGUUCGCUUUGGAAACUGAUAACCUUGAGUGCAGAAGGGGAGAGUGGAAGUCCAUGUGUAGCGGUGAAAUGCGUAGAUAUAUGGAGGAACACCGGUGGCGAAAGCGGCUCUCUGGUCUGUAACUGACGCUGAGGCUCGAAAGCGUGGGGAGCAAACAGG